Molecule: ribosomal RNA, 457 nt
Filed under: uncultured bacterium
Lineage: Bacteria
Description: bacterial SSU rRNA
Rfam family: Bacterial small subunit ribosomal RNA
Source: RNAcentral
GAUGAACGCUAGCGGGAGGCCUAACACAUGCAAGCUGAGCGGUAUUUGUCUUUCGGGACAGAGAGAGCGGCGUACGGGUGCGUAACACGUGUGCAACCUGCCUUUAUCAGGAGGAUAGCCUUUCGAAAGGAAGAUUAAUACUCCAUAAUAUAUUAAUUGGCAUCAAUUGAUAUUGAAAACUCCGGUGGAUAAAGAUGGGCACGCGCAAGAUUAGAUAGUUGGUGAGGUAACGGCUCACCAAGUCGAUGAUCUUUAGGGGGCCUGAGAGGGUGAUCCCCACACUGGUACUGAGACACGGACCAGACUCCUACGGGAGGCAGCAGUGAGGAAUAUUGGACAAUGGGUUAGCGCCUGAUCCAGCCAUCCCGCGUGAAGGAUUAAGGGACCUUAUGGGUUUUGUAAAACUUCCUUUUUGUACAGGGAUAAAACCUACCCUCGUGAGGUAGCUGAAGGUACU